AAAAAGCCUCGACGCGAGGUUCUAGCCGCCCGUACCCCAAACCGACUCAGGUGGUCAGGUAGAGAAUACUAAGGCGAUCGAGAGAAUCGUGGUUAAGGAACUCGGCAAAAUGCCCCCGUAACUUCGGGAGAAGGGGGGCCUGAAGCGUGAACCGACUUGCUCGGGGAGCGUGAAGGGCCGCAGAGACCAGGGAGAAGCGACUGUUUACUAAAAACACAGGUCCGUGCGAAGUCGCAAGACGAUGUAUACGGACUGACGCCUGCCCGGUGCUGGAAGGUUAAGAGGACGGGUCAGCCGCAAGGCGAAGAUCAGAAUUUAAGCCCCAGUAAACGGCGGUGGUAACUAUAACCAUCCUAAGGUAGCGAAAUUCCUUGUCGGGUAAGUUCCGACCUGCACGAAUGGCGUAACGACUUCUCCGCUGUCUCAACCGCGAACUCGGCGAAAUUGCACUACGAGUAAAGAUGCUCGUUACGCGCAGCAGGACGGAAAGACGCCGGGACCUUUACUAUAGUUUGGUAUUGGUGUUCGGUGCGGCUUGUGUAGGAUAGGUGGGAGACUGUGAAGCCGGCACGCCAGUGUCGGUGGAGUCAACGUUGAAAUACCACUCUGGUCGCUCUGGAUAUCUAACCUCGGUCCGUGAUCCGGACUAGGGACAGUGCCUGAUGUGUAGUUUAACUGGGGCGGUUGCCUCCUAAAAUGUAACGGAGGCGCUCAAAGGUUCCCUCAGCCUGGUUGGCAAUCAGGUGGCGAGUGCAAGUGCACAAGGGAGCUUGACUGUGAGACUGACAGGUAGCAGGGACGAAAGUCGGAACUAGUGAUCCGGCGGUGGCUUGUGGAAGCGCCGUCCCUCAACGGAUAAAAGGUACCCCGGGGAUAACAGGCUGAUCUUGCCCAAGAGUCCAUAUCGACGGCAUGGUUUGGCACCUCGAUGUCGGCUCGUCGCAUCCUGGGGCUGGAGUAGGUCCCAAGGGUUGGGCUGUUCGCCCAUUAAAGCGGUACGCGAGCUGGGUUUAGAACGUCGUGAGACAGUUCGGUCCCUAUCCGCUGCGCGCGCAGGAAACUUGAGAAGGGCUGUCCCUAGUACGAGAGGACCGGGACGGACGAACCUCUGGUGUGUCAGUUGUUCCGCCAGGAGCACGGCUGGUUGGCUACGUUCGGAAGGGAUAACCGCUGAAAGCAUCUAAGCGGGAAGCCUGCUUCAAGAUGAGGUUUCCAUGGGGACUUGAUCCCCGAGAGGCUCCCAGCUAGACCACUGGGUAGAUAGGCCGGAUGUGGAAGAGGGGACGAAAGACCCUCGCAGCUGACCGGUACUAAUAAGCCGACAACUUC
Molecule: ribosomal RNA, 1329 nt
Filed under: metagenome
Description: bacterial LSU rRNA
Rfam family: Bacterial large subunit ribosomal RNA
Source: RNAcentral